RNAcentral lists this unclassified non-coding RNA (492 nucleotides) under Hevea brasiliensis (rubber tree). Lineage: Eukaryota; Viridiplantae; Streptophyta; Magnoliopsida; Malpighiales; Euphorbiaceae. The record is from RNAcentral.
AAAAAAAAAAAAAAAAAUCAGGUUUUAUGUGGUGAAGGGGUAGAGGACAUGAUAGAAAACUUGAAAAUAACCUGAAAUAAAUUUACUUUGACUAAUAUCUAAUUUUAAUUUUAUAUAAGGCAAGCUUCUUUCCUUCAGGUAUAGAUGCAUAAAGAAACUAUGAUGUCGAGAUCCAUGAUCAGUCAUUGGGAGAAAUGCGAAAAGUGAUUGGUUAAAUGUUUACUGUUCUAAUUGAAGUAUUCAAAAGCUCUGGGUGCCACUGUCUGUACUGCUUUUCCUGUUGAAUUACAUAAAUUAAUCAGAACAAAAUUUACUUUCAUCAAAAUACAUGUCUGGGUCAUGCUUGUUCUAUUUUUAUAUCACCGUCAUGGACAAGUGUCCAGGUCAUGGUUCAUUGCAUACUCUACUCAAAAGAAACCACUUAUUUACAUGAAUGUGGACAGCGAGUUGCUGAUUAUUGUCCAUGACACCUGGCAGGAGUUAUAAUGAAUG